Molecule: ribosomal RNA, 599 nt
Filed under: bacterium enrichment culture clone T56x_H1_T3_E11
Lineage: Bacteria
Description: bacterial SSU rRNA
Rfam family: Bacterial small subunit ribosomal RNA
Source: RNAcentral
UGAACGCUGGCGGCAUGCCUUACACAUGCAAGUCGAACGGCAGCACGGGGGCAACCCUGGUGGCGAGUGGCGAACGGGUGAGUAAUACAUCGGAACGUGUCCUGUAGUGGGGGAUAGCCCGGCGAAAGCCGGAUUAAUACCGCAUACGCUCUACGGAGGAAAGGGGGGGAUCUUAGGACCUCCCGCUACAGGGGCGGCCGAUGGCAGAUUAGCUAGUUGGUGGGGUAAAGGCCUACCAAGGCGACGAUCUGUAGCUGGUCUGAGAGGACGACCAGCCACACUGGGACUGAGACACGGCCCAGACUCCUACGGGAGGCAGCAGUGGGGAAUUUUGGACAAUGGGGGCAACCCUGAUCCAGCAAUGCCGCGUGUGUGAAGAAGGCCUUCGGGUUGUAAAGCACUUUUGUCCGGAAAGAAAACGCCGUGGUUAAUACCCGUGGCGGAUGACGGUACCGGAAGAAUAAGCACCGGCUAACUACGUGCCAGCAGCCGCGGUAAUACGUAGGGUGCAAGCGUUAAUCGGAAUUACUGGGCGUAAAGCGUGCGCAGGCGGUCCGCUAAGACAGAUGUGAAAUCCNNNGGCUUAACCUGGGAACUGC